Molecule: unclassified non-coding RNA, 1477 nt
Filed under: Hevea brasiliensis (rubber tree)
Lineage: Eukaryota; Viridiplantae; Streptophyta; Magnoliopsida; Malpighiales; Euphorbiaceae
Source: RNAcentral
UUUUCUUUUCUUUUUUUCUUUUUUUAAUCACAAAUAACACAAACUAAGCUAAAUAACAAUUGUACUCUCAAACAAUUAAAAUAACAAACACGUGGUAGCACUUGAAGGAAAAUCUCCCAUACAAGUGUUUUCUAAAACACUUUGUAUACUUCAAUCACCCAACAACAAAAGGAGUUCAACAAAAUAAGCAAAAAGCACGAAGUACGAAAAAGAAACUUGAUGGACGAAACUCAAACAAAAUGGAUUAAAGAAAUUAAGACUCAGUUUGUGUAGAUGAAAGCAAAGAAAAUGCCAAACAAAGAAAAGCACAAAAGGAAAACUCAAGAGACACAUAUUCAACAAAGAUCCAAAUAAUAAAGAAAACAAACAAAUUAAAGGAUAGACAAAUCUGACUUUGGAGAGCCAAAGCACUGAUACCAAUUUGAUACAAACUCUAGAUGACUUUGCUUGAAACCCACAAUCAAUUUAGUUUAUUUCCAAGAUUGUUCCAAAAUAGGUUCAAACAGCAAAGACUCACUUGACCCAACACCAACUUGUGGUGGAAGACCAAGAAAAUCAAGAUGUCUUUUAAUGAUUGAACUUGGCCCAAUAUUAACAUGUGAUAGAAAAUUAAGAAUAAAUCGAUAGGAAAUCAAGAAUUCAUAACCCAAUACCAAUGUUGUGAUAGAAAACUAUGAAUAUCAAAUUAAAGCUUAACCAGUGAAUUAGCCUUGUGAAGACUGAAAUUUUGUUUAUGCAAGAACCAAAAAAAGAAUCCUUUCUCCCAAAACCACAAUGGUAAAUGAUAAUAAUACUUGAAAUCUAAAUUUGCCUAAAAGAAGAAGAAAAACACACAUCUAUAAUGGUGGCUGCCUAAAACCCUAAUACCUAACAUUAAACCCUAACAAAAUGUAAAGAAAUUACAAAAUAACCAAAGAAAUUUAUCUUAUAGCAAAUCUCACAAGCAUUGGUGCACCUAUGUUGAAUGUGAUUUGCUGCUCAAAUAAGCUCCCAAAAAUGUCUCAUGGCCUCUUGCGUGCUUAUUAGCUCAUCCCAUGGCCUACCAUGCACCAUUCUUCCAUCUCAUGGGUAAUUGUGCACCCUUCAUGCAUCCCAUGGGCAAUAGUGCGUCUCAUGAUCUCCUUUGCUUCCUCAAAUAUGUCUCAUGUCUAGUGGUGUGCCUAGGGAGAAUUCCAUGGCUGGUGGUGUGCCCAAAUGAGGCUUUUUAGUGUGUCUCAUGGUUGGUGGUGAGUCUCUGAUGGUCAGUUAUGGGAUAUUCUAUCCCCUUUCGUAAAUGGAAUUGUUUUGGGAUUUUAUUAGCUCUUGUGAAUGAAAAGGCUAGCAUUAAACUCUACUAACUCCAACCUUAUGUGGCACGGAAAUGGAAACACGAACAUGGGAAAACACGGAAUCGGACACGAGAAAACAAUAUUUUCAAAAAUGUAAGAAACGGAAAUGUGGGAAAAUGCAUAGAUAUAAACAAUAUAGGGUGUGUGUG